This is a non-coding RNA of Cinara cedri, 214 nucleotides long. The record is from the annotation of a GenBank genome assembly. Lineage: Eukaryota; Metazoa; Arthropoda; Insecta; Hemiptera; Aphididae.
CGGAAACGUCCGAUCGGCAUUUCGGCCGAUGUUAUUUUAAGCCGCGUCGCCUGAACCGAAAACUUUACUAACCUUUACUUAUUUGACGGUACACGGUGCGUGUGCACACGUAUAUACACACUUUUCGGGAUGCGCGAUCCAAUAAAAAUCUCAAGUCCGAUACCAACAGUAAAUAUUAUUGUUAUUGUCUCCGUGAUCACGAGAAGCAGAAGGU